AGUGAACGCUGGCGGCAGGCCUAACACAUGCAAGUCGAGCGGCAGCGCGGGGCAACCUGGCGGCGAGCGGCGGACGGGUGAGGAAUUCGUCGGAAUCUGCCUUUUUGUGGGGGAUAACGUAGGGAAACUUACGCUAAUACCGCAUACGACCUACGGGUGAAAGUGGGGGACCGCAAGGCCUCACGCAGAAAGAUGAGCCGACGACCGAUUAGCUAGUUGGUAGGGUAAAGGCCUACCAAGGCGACGAUCGGUAGCUGGUCUGAGAGGAUGAUCAGCAACACUGGGACUGAGACACGGCCCAGACUCCUACGGGAGGCAGCAGUGGGGAAUAUUGGACAAUGGGCGCAAGCCUGAUUCAGCCAUGCCGCGUGUGUGAAGAAGGCCUUCGGGUUGUAAAGCACUUUUGUCCGGAAAGAAAUCUUCCAACUUAAUACGUUGGGAGGAUGACGGUACCGGAAGAAUAAGCACCGGCUAACUUCGUGCCAGCCGCCGCGGUAA
Molecule: ribosomal RNA, 498 nt
Filed under: uncultured bacterium
Lineage: Bacteria
Description: partial 16S ribosomal RNA
Rfam family: Bacterial small subunit ribosomal RNA
Source: RNAcentral